RNAcentral lists this ribosomal RNA (408 nucleotides) under uncultured bacterium. RNAcentral's name for it is "partial 16S ribosomal RNA". It matches the Rfam family "Bacterial small subunit ribosomal RNA", at positions 28 to 526 of the family's 1533-position model. The record is from RNAcentral.
GACGAACGCUGGCGGCGUGCCUAAUACAUGCAAGUCGAGCAAAGCGGCGGAUGGGUGAGUAACGCGUGGGUAACCGGCCCUUAAGUUUGGGAUACCAUUUGAUACCAGAUUCUAAUACCGGAUAAUAAAGGAUGGACCUGCGAUGCAUUAGCUAGGUGGGAAGGUAACGGCUUCCCAAGGCGAUGAUGCAUAGCCGAGUUGAGAGAAUGAUCGGCCAAAUUGGGACUGAGACACGGCCCAAACUCCGACGGGAGGCAGCAGUAGGGAAUCUUCCACAAUGGACGAAAGUCUGAUGGAGCAACGCCGCGUGAGUGAAGAAGGUUUUCGGAUCGUAAAGCUCUGUUGUUGGUGAAGCGGUAAUCAACCAGAAAGUCACGGCUAACUACGUGCCAGCAGCCGCGGUAAUUC